RNAcentral lists this transfer RNA (85 nucleotides) under Gammaproteobacteria bacterium. Its description in RNAcentral is "tRNA-Leu". It matches the Rfam family "tRNA". Rfam says of the family: Transfer RNA (tRNA) molecules are approximately 80 nucleotides in length. Lineage: Bacteria; Pseudomonadati; Pseudomonadota; Gammaproteobacteria. RNAcentral also lists the same sequence under 2 other names. The record is from RNAcentral.
GCCGAUGUGGUGGAAUUGGUAGACACGCUAUCUUGAGGGGGUAGUGGCGUAAGCUGUGCCGGUUCAAAUCCGGCCAUCGGCACCA